Molecule: ribosomal RNA, 250 nt
Filed under: uncultured bacterium
Lineage: Bacteria
Description: partial 16S ribosomal RNA
Rfam family: Bacterial small subunit ribosomal RNA
Source: RNAcentral
UACGUAGGUGGCAAGCGUUGUCCGGAAUUAUUGGGCGUAAAGGAUGCGUAGGCGGAUAUGUAAGUCAGAUGUGAAAUACCCGAGCUUAACUUGGGUACUGCAUAUGAAACUGUAUAUCUAGAGUGCGGGAGAGGAAAGCGGAAUUCCUAGUGUAGCGGUGAAAUGCGUAGAGAUUAGGAAGAACACCAGUGGCGAAGGCGGCUUUCUGGACCGUAACUGACGCUGAGGCAUGAAAGCGUGGGUAGCAAAC